UACAGAGGGGGCAAGCGUUAUUCGGAAUUAUUGGGCGUAAAGGGCGCGUAGGCGGCUUUGCAGGUGGCGGGUGAAAUCCCUCGGCUUAACCGAGGAACUGCCUGUCAAACUGCAUGGCUUGAGACCAGGAGAGGUGAGUGGAAUUCCCAGUGUAGCGGUGAAAUGCGUAGAUAUUGGGAGGAACACCAGUGGCGAAGGCGGCUCACUGGACUGGUACUGACGCUGAUGAGCGAAAGCUAGGGGAGCAAACGGG
This 253-nucleotide ribosomal RNA is filed under the name uncultured bacterium. RNAcentral's name for it is "partial 16S ribosomal RNA". It matches the Rfam family "Bacterial small subunit ribosomal RNA", at positions 524 to 776 of the family's 1533-position model. The record is from RNAcentral.